UUUUUUUUUUUUUACAAGAAGAAUAAUUCCUUUGAUAGUUUUAUAAAUUGUAGAAUUUCCCUAGUCUAGCCAGGAACAAAGCUAUACAAAAUGCUGGAACAGGAACAAAAGGAACAUCUGGUAAGUUCACAUCGAUGACAAUCAUAGGUCGAAUGAACUAUUUCACUGCUACAGCAGCUGUAACAAGUGAAUUUACUUUUCCAACCGAGCCAAUGAGAUUACUACAGCAAAGUCUCUCUCUGUCUCUCAUGUUCCAAGGUGAAUGCUUUCUGGACUCUAAUAUGAAUCUAUGCCACUAAUGGAAAGAAAUUAUUACGAUAAUUGGGGAGAGCAGUGGACAGCCUAAACUUGGUAAAGGAGCACCAAACAGUCCUAUUUCCAAAAUAUUCGGCGAGGGUACGCAUGUAUCUCUACCAAAAUCUGUUGGUACCUCCUAGCUAGCUAGCUAGAAGUUCCAAAUGGAAGUUGGGAAAGCGGGUUCUUCUUGGACAUUAUAAACUUGGAAACUUGAUGAUUCUCCUGCUCGAUAAUCCGCAAUUCCAUGCAUCUCAAUCAGCGAAUCCCAGUUGAAACUCUUGUCUGCCACGGCUGCAAGAUUAUUGUCUUCAUCAUAAUCUUUUAAUGAAGAUUGUUGCUCCAUGCAGCUUUCUGUGGCAUCAUUGUUUUCUGGUUGCCCAUCUACUUUUAGUAUGCCCAGUUGCUGAAGGAACUCAUUUAAAUCAAUCUGAGGUUUCUCCUCAUCAUAUCUCACCACAUUUUCUGAUGUUAUUUCCACAUCUUUCUCCAUUCCUGGAGGAUUUUCUACGUUGGUUUUAUCGCAUACAAUGUUUGCUUCAUUUCUUGAAUCAGAAGAAGAUGAACUAUAAACAUUAGAGGAUUGACCAAGAACCCCAUUAUUCUUGAGUUCUUGGAGCCUCUGAUGAAUAACAUGAACACUAGGUUGUGCAUGUAUAUUAAGCAACCCACAAGAAGGAAACAUAGAAAUGAAGUUCUUGGAAGGAAUCCGUUUGAACUUCUGUGAUUCGCUGGUAAAUAGAGGAUUAAUGGAGCCAGGCUGAAGAUGAGGUAGAUUGAGAUAAGCAUCUGGUCCAUACAAUCUCCUUGCAGCCUCAUCAUAGGCCAUGGCAGCUUCUUCAGCCGUGGCAAAAGAACCCAACCAGAGUCUGGUUCUCUUCUUGGGUUCUCUGAUUUCUGCCACCCAUUUUCCCCAAGUUCUUUGGCGAACUCCUCGGUACUCGCACAUGGCGUUUUGAGGGCCACCUUUGCCUCUUGGUGGGCCUUUCUUCCAUGGCUUCAAUGGAGAUUUCCUGCAAUUUUCCAUGAGAAAGCUAAGAGUAAAGUCGUGAAGAGAGUGAGAGCGGG
Molecule: unclassified non-coding RNA, 1362 nt
Filed under: Hevea brasiliensis (rubber tree)
Lineage: Eukaryota; Viridiplantae; Streptophyta; Magnoliopsida; Malpighiales; Euphorbiaceae
Source: RNAcentral